Molecule: non-coding RNA, 5331 nt
Organism: Gasterosteus aculeatus aculeatus (three-spined stickleback)
Lineage: Eukaryota; Metazoa; Chordata; Actinopteri; Perciformes; Gasterosteidae
Source: RefSeq, a predicted model, not a curated record
UUGACAUGUGCAUGUGUGUGUGUGUGUGUGUGUGUGUGUGUGUGUGUGUGUUCCAGUCUUCUAAAUAGCACGGGUAAUAAACUAGAGAUGAAACCCGCGUUCCACAUCAAGUAGGUUUGGUGUUUCGGGAACUCUCGCUGUUAGGAAACACUCGAGUCUGACAGGAACGUUCCAGGAGCUUCGGCUGCAAACACAGUGGAUUGAAGUCACAGUUAUUAUACAUCAUACUAUAAGAUAUUAUACGUUUCCUGUAGACAAGGCUUCAGUCGAGGGGUGGGGGGGGGGGGGCGUCCUGAUGAUUGACAGAGCAACCGGCCUGCUGGGAAAUUGACUUGAGUCAUGUGACUUUGUCUGAGAAAAAGAUCAUUAUUAUUAUCGCGAUAGGAAAUUUUAAAAGGUGGAUAGAAAUGGAACUCGCUAUUCGGUGUACUGAGUCCUUCUGUUGUCGUAGCCUACUUGACAUUACAGGCUGAUCUGUUACCAUGACUACCGCACUGGUUGUCUACAUGGCUUUACAGCAUUUAAAAGGAUAUGCGGCGCUACGCCAAAAACAUUUGGGACUUUGGUUCCAGCCCCCGUCAAAAAACACAUUUAAACCAAUUAGAAGCUAAAAACGACACGCAUGUUUUCCAAUGAUUCAUGACUGAGGACACAGACAACUGGAAACCGACGGCAACAACGCGCUUACAUCCCGCUAACGGAAUGCGUCCGGUUAGCUCGACACAACGCGAAUGCGGCGGCGGGAAGAGGCGGCGUUAAUCCAGAUUGACAUGUCCCGCAGACGAAGAGCAGGCGAAGGCGUGCCGAUUUGUGGCGGCUGGGAUCUACUUGCCUUCCGGAGGACAAAAAGGGGGCCUUAAAAAACACGAGCUCACGUACGUUUGCCGAUCAGAGCCGGGUGGUUGGGGAAUAAUCAGCGUUUGUGUGCGUUUGUGCGCGUCCGUCUGCGUCUCUGUGUGCUUUUCGUGCAAACCGGAGGACGCCCGUGAGCUUCCUCGCGACCGGCCUUAAAAUAAAGAAGCACGCCUGCCGCUCAAGGCGACAUGCACAAUGUCUCUCUCACUCUGUCACACACAAAAACACACACUUUUUGACUCGCUUAACGACGCGGCCCAUAUUUGAUCAUUAAAAGCGCCGCCGCCGAUAAGGAGGCGGGCCGACGGGUAAUGACGGACGCUUUUACUCUUUCGCUACCUGCAAAAAAUAAAGCUCAGCGCUCAUCCAGGAGAUGGAGACUCCUCGCGGUCUGAUAAAAUAACAAAGAUUGCGGCCGUGUGCCCGAGAGCCAGUGUGCACGGUUUGAUAUUCCACUCACACACACAGACACACACACACACACACCCUGUGUGAGCAGAGGCAGCGCAGACCUGAUUCCAGCCUUUGCUGCGGCCUUAUCCGGGCUUUCGACGGGGCCUGCUUCGACUAACACCGGGGCUUUAGGCGCCGCGUUCGGCGAGCACGAGGCCCGCCGCUUGUUUUGUUGCACCCGACAGGAAGGAACGUUCGGACGAGGAUCGCCGGACGAGCGCCGAGACGAGUCGCGAGACUCGAGACGCCAAGCAGUCCGCGUCCUCUCUAUUCUCACAGCCUGCAAUUCAGACGUCCUGUACUCGUUUUUGAGAGUCUUCUGUGAUUUUAUACUGACGUCUGCUCCUUUUUGCACUUUUUACUUCGUCUUUAGCAGAUCGGCCGGAUUCCAAUCAUGGAAAGAAGACCAAAAGAUGCCGUGAGGUCUCGACGGCUGGAAGUCUAUUUUGGCACACAUGUAAUAGCUGAAUUGCUAAAUAUUCCUGCUUGGUUUUUCAGUGUUCGGCUCUCCACCGGAAGCCAUUUAUCUCCACUUAAGCGGGUCCCUGCUGAUGCAGCCGCCCGGGCGCCGGGGCCGGUACCGUCCUUUCAUGUGAUCUCACGUGAAAUGAAAACAUUUAUUACAUUAAAUACUACGCGGUGCAUUUAGCUACAUUAAUUCAAGUCCCUUUAGCUGAAUGCUGGAAACUAAUGAAGGGAAAUACAGUUUAAAUCUGAGCUCACAGCAAAUAACAUGAAGCUUUUAUACCUAACUGCAUUCUGUUUGUGUUGUUGUUGUUGUCGUUUGCACUCAUUCAAUCAAUUUGGUCCAUUUGGAGUCAAACCAAGGGGGGCGGGACUCACUAUGAUUGACAGAGCGUUGCCGUGGUACGUCCUUCCUCUGCCUUCCCGAUGCGGUAACCUCCGUUCACUGGUUGGAAAAGACCAAGAUGGCGGCCGCUGUAAUCCAAGAUGGCGUCGGCCAAGAGGAGGCUUCAGAACAGCGGUCCACAAACCAGCGGGCGGGGGGGGGGGACACGUCCACUUCUCACGCGCGUCUCGUCUUGUCAUGACGUCUCCUGGAGGCUCCUGGCUGCCUUGUCCUCCUCAGCUUCUCGUCCCUCACCAGACCUCGUCUCGCCGUGAGUCUCCUUGACCUUCAUUCGUCCACGCUGCGGCUGUUUGGGAACGCGCUGCCUGCGCAGGUCGCCCCGUCCGAGGGUAUUUUCGGCGGCGUGUUCUUCGAGCCCGCGUGGUUCCGGCACUCCGCUCUUCCUGUUUGUGCUGUGGAUGAGAAAGCGAUGUCACCGAUGGGGUUUGAUGUCUUACAAAGAACCGCGCGGCACGAUCACAAACGGCUCACCGUAAAAAACAAAAAAGCCUCCUUUUGAGCCCGGAGAGCACGAGUCCAUUUCCGGAUGGGUGAAAAAAAACAACAGAAUCAAAAUCUGCUGAAUCUGCUGGACCAAACGGAUCAAAAUGAAUAAAAAGAGGGCAUUUACUUUACAAUUCUGAAAACAUCGAAUGUCAUCAAAAGACCACAGGAAUGCGCAACUGUUUUUGUUGUUUCUGUCGUGUAGCAUAAAUGGGCUGCGUUGCGUUGUGUGUGUUGCAGAAUAAACGGUCGUGUAGAGCAUCGUACUCAGGGUACAAAUUACCAGAAGAGAAGGUCUCGUGAAAAAAUAUCUAAAGAAGAAAGACGAGGCCACCGAGGGGAAGGAGUAGCAGUCAACUGAUAUGAUUGUUCCAUUAUUGUGUAAAAGGGCCUCUAAUGAACACUUGAUUGUGAACGACGUUUUUUAUUGGGAAAAGGCUGAAGCAGCAUUGACAUGCAAUCAGUCGGAAGAUAUCCAAUUUAGCUUCCUUUGUCCGCUGCAAAGUGUGUUAAUCACGCUUACAUAUCUUCCAUAACUCGGGUUGUUCUCCAGCCUCGGAAACGUCAACAUGGGGAUGUGAUUUCUCUACGAUGAGAAGCAGCAAAUACUCAUCGUCAUUACGUUUGGAUCUAUUCGCAGAUCCAACAUGGAGCGAGUUUGACCCAUAACGAAUGAAUGGUUCAUGGCCGCUGCAGGGAAAUCUGAAUCGACGGGAUAUUUACUCAGUAUUCUUAUACUCGUACUUAACUAUUUCUAAUCUUCCUCUGUGGGGAUCUUUUAUCUUAAAAAUGUAAACAGCGCUUUCUUCUAUUUACUCACAAUGGAGCAAUUUAAACAUGUUGUGUUUUUACUUCUACUGUUGUUUUUCUAUCACCAUCAUUUCACUCUGUUUUCUUGUAUAAUUACUUUAUUCAGACUUGACUUUAAUAAAGAAAGACAUCUAAUUCUCAAUGUUUAUUCUUCCUGUAGUUACUCCGUAGCAAAUUUAAUUAAUCCUGCCCUCCAUCCCAAUCAUUUUCGAGGAGCUAAUGGAAGUCUGAAGAGGAAAAAAUAGCACGUUAGGAACGAGUGCAGCUCGGCCGCAUAAUUGUCAGGAUAUUUCUAUUAUUCGCAUCUGAUGGCAAAGUCUAUUUGCGGCCCGCAACAGAAACGUGUGGGGAGGAAACGAGUUUAACAGCCACUCUGCAGCCUUUGAGUCACGCAGAAAGCUCCGCUCGGCUGGGAUUGUCUUCGCCGUCUCUCCCGUUGCCUCAAAUCCUUCGUGCCGCCGGCCCGGGGAGGACAGAGAUCCGUCAGGGCCAUCGGACGCCGACAAUGGAGCGGCACAGUUUGGGGUCUGCGCCCGUUUAAGCGGGCUGUGAGAGGGUUAUGGAUGUGCCACGCCGUAUCGGAUCUGAGUCCGGUAUCUAAUCAACUCCUGUCCCCGCCAUGACGCCCGUUCACGAUGGAUUUCCAGUGCAGUGAAAAUAAUCAAUUCAUUUGGCGAGAGAAAUAGGAGGAAUCCCUGUUUGAAGGCACAAAACAGUUUUAUAGAUAUCAAGUUCUCUCAAAGGGGUUUCAAUGAAUAAAACGGAGGCAUGGAAUCACGGCUGGAGGAGUUUUUAAAAAGAGGAAUUUACCGAUUUUAAGGUCAUUGAGUCGACAAGUUAGAAUUUCGGUUUCUCUUCAUCCCUCUCCUCAUCGUCACUGCAGACCUCCAGGUAGCCGGUUAACAGAUUGAUUUCAGCCGACACGUUGCACCUCUUUUGCUCUGUUCGAAGGUAAUUGGUCGACAGACUAUAGACUACAAAUGGAAACCAAGGAGAUUUCUGAGAAAUGUUGUUGGCUUGUCCAAUUACUUUUUGCCACCUAAAAUUGGGAAACUGUAAAUGCGUCACAACAGUUAUGGAUACUGUUUUUCUGAGCUGGAGGAAACAAAGUUACAGCUAAACUUAAUCUGACUUCCGAUCCAAUGUGCUGGACAACAGAACGCAGGCAUCACAAAUGUUUUCUUUCCGAUUCAUUUUGGAAGAUGGUCCUGUGAAAUAUUUUACAAUCAGAAGAGUUUAAUAAUGUUGAGAAGCUCUGGGAUACAUAAUAAAUAUAAUUGCUACUCAUUAACAAACAGCUUACAAGUAUAAACUACAGCUUACAAAACAAGCCCGACGUCUAUAGCAGUAGUGUCGUUUUUGGGGGCGUGGCUUUGAUGGGAGGCCCAAAAGGGGGCGGGGGCUGUCAGUGUUGACGACGCAGCGACUAUUUCAGGACCCGGUGCUGCUUUGUUUUGUGAUUCACGGCGUUUCUUGGCACUAUCCGGCCCACCUUCAAUCAUUCCAACAUUUCUACCGGUUGCGCUUGUCCAGCCUGAGUCUUCUGUCCCUGAACCAUCUUUUUCUUUCUCAUCUCUCUUUACAGAAGGGUUGCUCAUUGUUUGUGCCGAUGAUUCAACCAGAAGAGCUCAGCUUCCAUCCAAGCCCCACUCCAAAGAAACAGCGUCUUCACAAAAAGAAAUUCCAAAAUAGCUCCUCCCACCUCACUACACAGAAGGGCACUCAUCACAGCUACAGUACGUGUGAAGGAGGGAGAGGCAGCAGUGACUCCAUCUGAGCUUCGCAGUGCAGAGCGGAGACGUUCAGCCCUGCGGUUUGUGUCCAGCGCGAGACACUCGGUCCUCCCGGUCCCCCGAGAA